GGGCGUAUAGCUCAGCGGGAGAGCGCCUCGUUGACAUCGAGGAGGUCCGUGGUUCAAUCCCACGUACGCCCA
RNAcentral lists this transfer RNA (72 nucleotides) under Lutibaculum baratangense AMV1. RNAcentral describes it as "Phyllobacteriaceae bacterium AMV1 tRNA". It matches the Rfam family "tRNA". Rfam says of the family: Transfer RNA (tRNA) molecules are approximately 80 nucleotides in length. Their secondary structure includes four short double-helical elements and three loops (D, anti-codon, and T loops). Lineage: Bacteria; Pseudomonadati; Pseudomonadota; Alphaproteobacteria; Hyphomicrobiales; Tepidamorphaceae. The record is from Rfam by way of RNAcentral.